GGAUUAGAUACCCUGGUAGUCCACGCCGUAAACGAUGUCAACUAGCCGUCGGAUUCAUAAUUUAAAGAAUUUGGUGGCGUAGCUAACGCAAUAAGUUGACCGCCUGGGGAGUACGGCCGCAAGGUUAAAACUCAAAGGAAUUGACGGGGGCCUGCACAAGCGGUGGAGCAUGUGGUUUAAUUCGAUGCAACGCGAAGAACCUUACCAGCUCUUGACAUCUUCGGAACUUUCUAGAGAUAGAUUGGUGCCUUCGGGAACCGAAUGACAGGUGCUGCAUGGCUGUCGUCAGCUCGUGCCG
Molecule: ribosomal RNA, 298 nt
Filed under: uncultured bacterium
Lineage: Bacteria
Description: partial 16S ribosomal RNA
Rfam family: Bacterial small subunit ribosomal RNA
Source: RNAcentral